This is a long non-coding RNA of Impatiens glandulifera, 480 nucleotides long. RefSeq lists it as uncharacterized. NCBI's taxonomy places the organism in Eukaryota, Viridiplantae, Streptophyta, Magnoliopsida, Ericales, Balsaminaceae. The record is from RefSeq and is a predicted model, not a curated record. The transcript is spliced from 4 exons.
AAUUAAAAGUAUCAAUACACUCCUCCACCACCGAAUCUUCCGCGUCUCUCUUCUCGGUCGGUCGGAGCUCUACGCCAGUUAAGAGGAGAAGUGUGAUCGGAGAGUGAAAUCCACCAACCGACGACCGUUCCUUCCACAUCAUCCUCAGAGAACCUAUGAGUGCACUGUUCAUAGUUGCAGUCUGGGUUUGAUGUACUAUCAUCCAUGCAAAAUGGCAAAAAUGGAGGAAGAUACAUCUGUCACCCAGUAUGAAGAUUACACGAAAAAAGUCCAAUUCAGAAUUAAAAGUAUCAAUACACUCCUCCACCACCGAAUCCUCCGCGUCUCUCUUCUCGGUCGGUCGGAGCUCUACGCCAGUUAAGAGGAGAAGUGUGAUCGGAGAGUGAAAUCCACCAACCGACGACCGUUCCUUCCACAUCAUCCUCAGAGAACCUAUGAGUGCACUGUUCAUAGUUGCAGUCUGGGUUUGAUGUACUAUCA